This 446-nucleotide long non-coding RNA is filed under the name Coffea arabica (coffee). RNAcentral's name for it is "long non-coding RNA (CARA_LNC002668)". The record is from RNAcentral. Lineage: Eukaryota; Viridiplantae; Streptophyta; Magnoliopsida; Gentianales; Rubiaceae.
ACACAAAAUCGCUCUAAACAAUUUUCCUGAUGGCUGUUCGGCCCCUUGUCCAUUAUUCGCUGGUGAAGCAAAGCCUACCGCCAGGGCCCAGUUUUCCUUUUCCAUGGGCACGAGAUUUCCAUCAAUCCAUCGUGCAAUUUCCUUGAGUUUUAUCCUCGCCAUCACCUUUCCCCGCCUCAACGCCACAUGUCACAGGACGAGGGUGGUGAUUAUGAUUCUUCCAACAAUCAAAUAUUGCAAGAUCUAAAACUAAAAUAAAGAAAUGAGAAAAGACGAUAAAGAUUUGAAGGAAAAAAGAAGAUAAAAAUAGGAAUUGCCGUUUUCUUUUGGUGGAGAAAGAAAAGCCAAAGCAUUUAAAAGUUGGAAAAAAAAAAAAGCGAAGAAAAAGAGCAGAGACGGAAAGUGAUGGCCUGGAGAAGAAACGAUGAAGAAGACUUAUUAGUUCU